CUGAGUCAUGUCAUCAACGGGACAUUCGCUGGGCAUGAUCGGAGAAGAAAAAUAGUGCAUCCACCAUUGCAACAUAGUUUUGAAGAUACAUUAAAUGAUGUUUUAUUAACAAAGGUCGAGAGGAACACAUUCAAAUGAUCUAACUAAUCAUCACAUCACUCCAACCAGCAGUCAUCAAUCAGCAAUCAACAUAUCUACCCAAUCAGCAGGAGUGGAGACAUAUAUAUAGACCAUUUCAACUGCUAUUCGUCGAAGUAAGGAAGUGGCGUCUUUGGUCCUCGGAAGUUUCCGGUUAGUUAGCGCGCACAUUCUAAACAUUGGCGGGAGGCGCUUCAGUUCGGUGAUACUGCGACAAUUUACAGAUAAUAAAAUGUCCAAAUUAAAAUUAGGACCGUGUUGUUCGGUGGUUGGAUGCUCUCUCAGGCCAGGAACUAACUUGCUUCUGAGAUCAAAGCGUUUAGAUUUCCGAAAAACAAAACGCAACGCGACGCCUGGAUUGCAGCAGUUAAAAGAGAAGGCUGGAUACCAACUUGCAACUCUAGGAUAUGUAGCACACAUUUUAUCUCUGGCAAGCCAUCAGAUGACCCUCUAAGUCCAGACUACAUUCCAUCAAACUUCCUCACAGACCUGACAACUCCAGAAAGAUGGACCGAUAUCAGAGGUCUCUAAGACGAGCAUCAGAGGUCUCCGAGACAAGCAUUAGAGUUCAGCCCACUGAGAAAGUUGAGGACAUGGACAUAGAUGUGACAGAAGUUAAGUCCUGUCACAUAAGUCAUGUGUGUUGGAACUGAUCUCACUAUGAGGGAUAUAGAAGAAAUGCAGAACCUGAAUUCAUCUUAUAAAGACCAAGUGACAAGCCUACAGUCAAAAGUACAAACACUCACCUGUGAAAGAAAACAACUAAAAUCUGACGUGGAUUUAAAAGAUGAUCAAACCAUUCACUUCUAUACUGGCCUUCGCUCAUCCAAAGUGUUCUUCGCACUUCUGACUUAUCUGACCACUGCUUGGAGUCCGAGAACGCUGAGUCCUCCAACACCUCUCCAGUUUUAUUUGGUCUUGAUGAAACUGAGACUUGGCCUCACGCAUAAAGAUCUUGCCUACAGGUUUCAUUGCAGUUGUGCAACAAUCUCUUCAAUAUUUCAUGACUGGUUAGCGUUUCAGCUCUCUAGUACAUUGGCCUUCCAGGGAAGAGAUUAAAACGAGUCUUCCUGGCCUGUUCAAAAGCCCCCCGUUCAGUUAGGUGUAUCAUAGACUGCAGCGAAAUUUUUAUUGACCGACCAACAUCACUAAGUGCAAGAGCGGUGACAUACUCCAACUAUAAGUCCCACAACACCAUCAAAUUCCUGGUUGGCAUCAGUCCAACAGGGUCAGUCACUUUUCUUUCUAAGUCUUGGGGUGGGAGAGCCAGUGACAAAACAAUCACCAAAUCAUCUGGGUUAAUUGAUCUUUUGGAAGAGGGAGACAUUGUCAUGGCUGACCGAGGGUUCAGUUUCCCUGAGUAUUUUGCUGCAAAAGGAGUCCAGCUACUUAUACCAGCUUCAACCCGUGGAAAGACGCAGCUUUUAGGACAGGAAGUGUCUGUGUCACGUCACAUGUCAAGGAUGAGAAUUCAUGUGGAAAGAGCUAUCGGCCGCAUUAAAAAGUACAGCAUUUUGCGACAAACACUCCCCAUAAACUUGGUCAAACGAAGACGCAAAGACACGGUGGCAACUGUUGAUAAAAUACUACUGGUAUGUUCUGCAUUAUCUAAUUUGGACAAGUCAUUAGUUCAGUAGAAAAAGACACAUCAGACACUAACAAGUGGUUAGAAACCUUUUAUUUUUUAUUAAUUGAAUGAUUGUGUACAGUAUUAACAUUGGUGGCAGAUUUAAAACAUGAAAUGUGUCAUUGUAUAUAUUGUGUAUAUAGAUUUAUGUUUGAUCUUUAAUUCUUUUUUCUAACUAUCUGCAAUUAUUAAACAUUUGUUAAUUAGAACA
Long non-coding RNA from Megalobrama amblycephala (Wuchang bream), 1976 nucleotides. RefSeq lists it as uncharacterized. The transcript has 2 exons. NCBI's taxonomy places the organism in Eukaryota, Metazoa, Chordata, Actinopteri, Cypriniformes, Xenocyprididae. The record is from RefSeq and is a predicted model, not a curated record.